GCUGAGAGAGGCUGAGAGUCGGGAUUAAAGAGUUAAGGGCUAUGGUGAUAGGUGGGAUGGGUUGAGAGAGGCUGAGAGUCGGGAUUAAAGAGUUGAGGGCUAUGGUGAUAGGUGGGAUGGGCUGAGAGAGGCUGAGAGUCGGGAUUAAAGAGUUGAGGGCUAUGGUGAUAGGUGGGAUGGGUUGAGAGAGGCUGAGAGUCGGGAUUAAAGAGUUGAGGGCUAUGGUGAUAGAUGGGAUGGGUUGAGAGAGGCUGAGAGGCGGGAUUAAAGAGCUGAGGGCUAUGGUGAUAGGUGGGAUGGGCUGAGAGAGGCUGAG
Molecule: long non-coding RNA, 316 nt
Organism: Oncorhynchus keta (chum salmon)
Lineage: Eukaryota; Metazoa; Chordata; Actinopteri; Salmoniformes; Salmonidae
Exons: 3
Source: RefSeq, a predicted model, not a curated record